Dama dama (fallow deer) is the source of this 1213-nucleotide long non-coding RNA. RefSeq lists it as uncharacterized. The transcript has 2 exons. NCBI's taxonomy places the organism in Eukaryota, Metazoa, Chordata, Mammalia, Artiodactyla, Cervidae. The record is from RefSeq and is a predicted model, not a curated record.
UCUUUCCUUUCCAAAUUAAGAGCUCAGUUUUGUAUUACACUCACGGAUAUAAAACUUGGCUCUCUGGUUUGGGAUGCAUGAGAUCUCAUUCACUAAAUAUUUCUGGAGCAACGAAGAGUUUCUAGGAUCUUCCAGGCUUGGCAAGGAAUAAGGUCGCAAGCAAGUCACUAAGCUUGGCCCAUAUUCAAGACGAGAGAUCAGAGAACCCACCUCUUGAUGGGAGGAGUGUCAUAUAAUUUGCAGACAUCCACAGCGGCCAAUCCGACAGUAGCAGAAACCAACAGCGAACUCCAUGUAUGGCACUAUACCCCAGGGGACCGUCCAUCACCUGCUGGCUGGCAGGUUGAUUACACUGGAACAUUUCCAUCCAUUGUGGAAGAAACGGUACCUUGUUCUCACCGGAAUAUACACUUACUCUGAAUAUGAAUCUGCCUUCCUUCCCUAUAGUACUUCUGCCAAAACCACCAUCUGUGGGUUUACAUAAUGGCAGCCAUAUUCGCUGCCGCAGCACUUCAUGGAGCACCGCCUCUGACCAGGGGGCUCAUUACAGCCAAUGAACCAUGCCCACGGAGCUGUGUCUAUGGAACUGACUGGACUCACCAUGUUCAUCAUCACUCUGGAGCAGCUGGCCUGCUAGAACACUGAAGGGGCCUUUUGCAGACUCCCCUACAGUGCCAACCGGGUGAUAACACUUUGUGUGUGGGUGAGAUAAUGUUCCCAAGGAUGAAGUAUAGACUCUGAAUUCCUAUCCAACAUGUGGUGCUGUUUCUCCCAGGGCCAAGGAGCAUGGAUCUGGGAUCAAGGGAUUGAAAUGGGAGAGGUUCCUCUCACUAACACCCCUAAUGAUUAACAGGCCAGUUUUACUCCUGUUUCUGCAACUAGAGGCAUUGGUUCUGGAGGCAAGAGCACUUCCACUGGAGACCAAACAGACGUGCUUUUUGACUGCAGGCUCUGUCACCACCUGACAUGGUCCAUGUGUGCAUAUUUUACUGCCUUGUUACCACUGACUCCAUGAGGAACAGAGCAGGUCCCGGGACUCAGUAGCUGCUUAUGUAUUUGUUGAUUUGUGUGCGCGUGCAUGUGGGGGAGGGGUUGGGGGAGGAGUCUGGUUUAAACGCUAGUAAGUCAUGAUCAGAGUAAUGAUAGUUUUCCUAUACUGUAUCUGGAAUACUGAGUUAAUAAUGUUCUAGAUAAACCAGAGGUAGUGGUUUAA